Molecule: long non-coding RNA, 1159 nt
Organism: Lagopus leucura (white-tailed ptarmigan)
Lineage: Eukaryota; Metazoa; Chordata; Aves; Galliformes; Phasianidae
Exons: 4
Source: RefSeq, a predicted model, not a curated record
CUGAAGAAGUUCUUGCUUCACGAGAAAAUGCCAGAGCCUUUUUGCUGGAAGAGCUGAAUAAUCCUUUGAUCUGGGUGAUGCAGAAGGAGAAAUAAAAAGGAAACAGCUUCUGUUUAAUUACAGGCAAGUAAACAGGGAAAUGUUUGUUACUGCAAACAAAAUUUGUUGUGCCUGUAAUCUCACUGCUACAGAUGCCCCCGUCCACUGAACUACAAAUACGCAACCUAAACUGUGGACUGUUCAGAGCACCUGUAUUUUCUUUAAACCUGAAGAAAAGAAGCCACUACUACCAUUCAUCUACACAGCAAACUUUUACACACCUUCAUUACCAUCCUCUGAAACAUCAGAAACUGUAGCAGCUUGUAGGAUAAGGAAAACAGAAUAUAUCUCCAAUGAAAACAAGGCUUAUAUAGAAAAGAAAUCUCCCCUACUGGGUUACUAAAAGGUCUAAAAUGCAGAUCGUUAGCACGACCUUUAGAAAACAAAAUACCUGGAAUAUUUUCUGAUUGCCUUCGAGGCUUUACAAGAAGUUUCACUCCUCCGCCAAAAACAGCAGCCCACAUCCGGCUGUUCAGAGGAUGAGCUGCCAGUCGGAACAACUCGUUACAUGAGUUGGUUGCCAGGGCAUGGAUCAGCAGACUCAGGUAAACAGCUACAACAGCUUCGCAAAGAAGGACGUUUAACUUUGGUUGAUCUUCAUCCUGAGCUGAACUUAAGAGAUUUAUCAGUGAACUCACACCUGCAGAGAGAAGACGAAAAGCUCUUCGUUAAUUACAAACAGGGAAGAAUUCGGUGUUGCAUCUCUGUCUCUUUUGGUGCACACAUACUAAUAGCCAUUUGAAACUUUUGUUCUGAUAUAUCAACAAUUAUGAUUUUUUCUUAGACUGAACAAAAAGAUUUCUGAAUUGUGCCUCAGAUUGCUUUGCCUCUGAAACUCCUGCACUGUUGGCCAGAGUUGACCUCACAAUAUUACCUCUCUGCUAGUAUGUGAAAAGCAGUUGUUUUGAUGGCUACGGCAGGAAAAGCAAGUAUGUAAGACAGUACUGUAGCUGCAGCUAACAGAAAGAAACUGCUCUGCUCGAGGGUGACGCAGACCUGAGAAAAACAUCUUAGGAUGACAAAUAAUCAGCUUAUAGAAUUUAUCCUGAAGAUUCUGAUC